CUUGAAAUUGGAUCCAAUUGACUCUUCGAACCAGGCUCACCCGUCGUUGAAUUAGUCCUUUCUCUUUCUGCUGACUCCCGUUAUUGGAAUCGAACGGAGCAUUUCAAUAUGCCCCGGCUGACUCUAACGGGGUGACUGACCCUGGUCACUCAGUAUUUGCACUGGACUUGGUCGUUACUCCCAAUAUUCGAGGUAACUGAAUAUUAAUAAAAGUCCCCUUACUUUAUAUUUUCACGGUAUACUCAUGUUACAACUCGACAUCCACCCCCUCUGAACCUAUGCAUCCUCCGGUAUGCACCAAUUUACCCAAUUGCUAUUGGAUUUAGAAUAUAUCCUCUAUGUCUUUGUCUAGUUCGUCUUUGUCACCUUCAUUAUUCAAAUCACUUUCAUCUUCUUACUGUGGAAUCUCUAUACCUUCAUUAAGGUCUUUUAUAUUCAUCUCUGCGUGUCUUCCUUUAAAUAUUUUUACUUACUUCCCUGCAAUUGGUAUUUUCAAUUUUGUACCAUCUAACUCCCGUAAUGAGUAAGUCGCAUUAUCAUGAACAAUUGUUACCACAUAUGGUCCAAACCAACGUUUUGAAAAUUUUCGCAAAGUACUAUGUUGAUUAUCCAGACUAUUGUCAUAAACAAGUACCCAGUCACCUUCCUCGAUUGCUUUAGGUCUCAAUCGAUGUUGCUUCUCGAAUCGCGCCUUGUUUUCUAACCUUACUCUUUUUAACCUUCCGAAUGCUAUCUGGACAUCUUCCGUUCUUUGCUCCAAUUGUCGAAUCCUAAUACCCAGAAGUUCUUCUCUUGUCAAUCCAUCUUCCGAUGGUAGCAUACUCCAAGUAAGUACCUUUUCUUCAAUCGGCAUAAUUGGUUUUUGACCUGUCAUAAGUUCUAUUGGCAUAUAUCCUAUCACCAAACUAUGUGUUGUUCGAUCAGCCCAUAAUGCAAAUGACAAAAGCCGUGGCCACUCUUUAACUUUUCCAUUACAAGCUUUAACUAAUGCUUUCACAAUCGGUGGGUGACCGCGUUUGCUUUUUGCAUUCCCUUCCGGAUUAUAAGUAGUAGUCAGUGAUAGUUUAACUCCACAUCUUUCAAAGAACUUACGAGCUUCUUGUGCAUUUAAUUCUCCACGAUCUGCAGUGAUUUUUCCUACGCAUCCGUAGCGACAAAUGAUAUCUUGAAGAAAAAACCUACAAAUCCCCUCUAUAGAUUUUGUUCUCAAUGUUCUUCCUUCUACUUGAUUUGAUAAAUCUUCACGAGCUAAAAUCAAAUAUCUCAUUUACCGUAACCCAACCGACAUAAUAACCAAAUCAACAACCCAUUUAAAAUGAAUAGUCAGAGGAUACGUAGGAUGAAGACCAUCUCGAUGUCAGAUAUUAAAAUACGAUUGACAGAUUUCACAUGACUCUACAAAUGAGAGCACAUCUCGAUACAUAUUUUUCUACCAAUAUCGUUCCUUGAGUUUAGCAAAAGUAGCCCAGAUUCUUCCAUGCCCUGUCCAUAAACUAUCAUAAAACUCCUUUAAUAAUUUUAGUUUUUCUUCCUUUUUGCCUAUCACUCGUCGUGGCAUCUCAAUUCCUUUCUUCGGUCUCUUUCAUAAGAAUCCAUCUCGAAGUAAAAAUCCAUAUGCUUUUUUUCUUAAUUGUUUGAAUUUUUUUGUAGACCAAUUCCCUUGCUUAAUCAAGGUAUUCAAGUAAUGACCAAUAUCCAAUAAUUCUCCUUCAUAAGAUUCUUCAAGAAAUAACUUGUCUUCCCUGUUGAGAUUUGAUAUUGAAUAGAAUUUCAAUCCGACGUCAUCAAUGUCUUCAAUCAUUUCGUCCUCCCUCUCGUAUCUUGCUCGAGAUAGCAUGUCUGCUAUUAAAUUGUCCUUUCCAGUAACAUGCUUAAAUUCUGGAUUUAGUGACUUAAUAUAAGCAAUCCAUCUCAACAUUGUAAUAUCUGGCGUUGAACAAUUAAUAAUCAUUCCAAGCAAUGGCAAGCAAUCUGUUUCAAUUACUACUACCGCCCCAAUCAAAUAGUCCCUUUCAGCUUUCAUAGCCGAAACGACUCCCCAAAGUUCUCUUUUGACUUGUGAAUAUGAUCGCUGACAAAUACUUAAAACUUUAGCUCCAAAUCAAACUGCAAAUCUAUUCCCACUGGAAUCAUCUUGACCCACAGUCCAUCCAAUGGCAAUUGGACUAGGGUCCACAAUAAGAAUCACUGGUCUAUUACACUUAUAAUCAACCUUUCUCAAUAUUGGAGGUGACAUCAAUAAUUUCUUCAAUCUUUGCAUUGCCUAAAUAUGCCUUUUUUCCCAUUUAAAUCAAUAAUCCUUGCGUAACAGUUCAUAUAAUAGAUCCGCUAUGUGAGCACAAUGAGGGAUCCAGAUUCGAUAAAAUAUACAUGCACCUAAAAACCUGUGAACCUCUGUUAAAGAAUCACAAUCCUCUUUCAUCCUUCCAAUUGCAUCAACUUUAGUCGGAUCUGAUUUUCUUCCGUAAGAUCCACAUAAAUGUCUAACAAUCACAACCUCUCAUACUCCAAAUAUGGACUUCAUACCCGAUAAUGUAAGAUGAACUUCUCCAAGCUGAAUUAAAAUCUUUUCACAAUCUUGUAUAUGAUCAACAACAUAUUUGCGACACUCCCUCGUAUCUAAAGUUUCAUCCUUGUCUCCUUCUCUGCACCCUUUUAUAGGAACAUCAUCCACAAAAAGCAUAGUCUUUUCCGGAAUAAAAUCUCUCAAUACCUUAUUCAUUCCAUUCAUCAUAUGCGCAACUGAGUUGGUCGCGCCUUGAGGAAGAGUGCACAUUCUAACCAAUCCAAGUGGUGUCCUCAUUGUUGUCAUAUCUCUACUUCCUUCGGCAAGUUGAAAUUGAUCAUAACUUGAAUACAAGUCACCUAUUGAAUAGAUCGCCCUUCCAGCAAACGCCUCAGCAAAUUCAUCCACAAUAGGUCCAAUUCCUGCAUUUCUGACAGUUACUGCAUUCACCGGUUGCAUAUCUUGAAUAAAUCGUAGUGACCCAUUCUUCUUAGGUAUCUUAAAUCAUCGACUAGAAUACGACACAAAUGAGGGUUCAAAUAUUUUCAUCUUAUCUUUUCUUUUAAUAGCUCAACCAAUUUAGGUAAAUGUACCAUCGAUACUAGAAUCGGUCUUAGAUUCCAAGGUACAUGCGGUGCAGUGAAGAUAACCAUAGGUGUUAUAAAAUUGGGAUCCACACACCCAAUUUCAUGAGAUUUGAAGGUAAACGAUCUACCUUGUUUAGCCAACAUCUUUUUGAAGCAAGUAAUUUCCUCAAGCAAUAAAGAACCAUCAGAACCAAUCUUCAAUUCUUCAAAAGUCUCUCUUGUAAACUGGUGUCCAAUACUCAUUGGAUCUCUUAAACUUGCUUCUUUUGAUGCUUCUCCCAUUUGUUCUUUAGAAUCUUCUGAUAAUUGUCCGGCAACAGGCUUUACCUUCUUAUCUGCCGUUUUAUAUCUCGUCUCUAUAGUGACUUCUGGUGCUUGAAAAGAUUCAAGUAUGGUAUAAACCUCUCUUGAAUGAAUCUCAACAAUCUUAUCAUUAUCUCCUAACCCAAUAGAUGUAAUCAAUUCCAAUGAAUCUUCCAGUCCAUUUUCUUCAUAAACACCUAAAAUCCUCUCAUCAUCUUGCAAUGUACCUAACUUGCAUAAUUCUCUUUCAAUAUUAUAUAAUCUUUUUCUUUCUUUUCUUUUAAAAUCAUCAACUUUCUUAUACAUAAUAUUUCCAUUCUCCAAUAUACCAAUAAAAUUUACAUCAAAGGCACCUUCAUCUCACGAGAGUACCUCCUCUUUUGUACCUCCAUAAUCUCGCUUUACAGUGGUACCUCCCCAAAAUCCUUAAAUCCUUCAACAAUCUUUGGCAAUGGUUUCUCCCUCAACCUAUCUCGAUUCCGUUCAUGGUUAGGAGGUACUGUUAGAAAUUGUACAGCUUUUCUCCUAUCCUCGCUCCGUACCUUUGCAUAAGAAGAACCAUCGUCUAGUACUUUUAUUUCCAUCCGUGUUGCCGUAAUAUAAGGUUGUCCUAAAAUCAACGGAUAAGACAUUGUAUCUUGAACGAAGAAAUGUUGCUCCGUAGCAACAUCCCCAAUCCGAAUUUUGACAUCUGGACAAGCUCCAUAUAAUUCGCCUCAUGUGUUAUUAGCUGCUCGUAUUGCCCAUCCAUGUUCCAUAUCAAUUGGCCAUUUUUGCUUCUUAUAAAGAUCUUUAGACAUGAGAUUUAUUUCAGAACUAUGGUCGACUAAAGCAACAAUUGGUUCAUCUAUAUCUCCUACUUUCACCAAUACCUCAAUAGUUGCCCUUGCCCAAUGCUUUCGAGUAUAAUGGCUCAAAGUUUCUAUUUUCUUAUCCCUAUAAUCUUCGAAACGUACUCGUUGAUUAUACCCAUUCUUUUCAUUUGUUGAUUGCUUGUAACCAAUAUCAACCUCUUCUUUAUUUUUAUAUAUUCUUGCAUCAAUAGCAUGACUCAUUCCAGUUUCGUCCAUUAAUUGCCUCUUUUACUUAAUGCUGUCAACGAUAACAUCAUGAAACUCCUUCUUUGCAAUUUCCAAGACUUCUUUCAAUGUGAAUUCCACCUUAGCAUUUAAUAUAUGUUCUUCUAACACCCCUUUCAAAUUUGUUGCCGCUUCAAUGUCAGAAAGUAGCUUAUAAGCAAUUGAUUUGCCUUUAUCUUUUGUUUCCUUUGUUUUUUCUCUCAAUGAUGCCGAGGUAUCCUUUACAGGUAAUUCUUGUGAAGCUGCCUCCCGAGCCUUGUCUCCUCGAGUUUGCCUCUUAGAAGAAUUUUCUUCUCUAGUAUCAUCAAAAUUUCCUCGUCUCUUUUCUUCCAUCAAAGCUUCAUGUUGGCUCUUAGCAAUAUAUGCAUGAACUGAAAGAGAUUCAACAGGAUUCUCCAACCUGUUCUACCUCGUAUUGUAGCUGCAGUCGUCAAUAACGCUUCUCGAGGUAAUUUCCCUUCUUGCAUUGUAAAAACGGCAGAAGCCCAAAACUCACUAGUUUCUGUACUUCCACCAAUUUCAUCAUCUACUCUAGCAUCAUAACUUGCACUUUCUCGUGCUGCUGUUUCAUGCUCUUUUAGGUAAUCUUGAACCAAUGCUCUCAUUCUUCCCUUGCCAAAAUUGGUUUGAAGAAGAUCCUCCCUAUCUUUCAAUGCUAUCUUCCCAUCUUUCUAGCAAAUAAUUCUGUGCCGUAUCAUAUUAUUAAAUUCAUUGCAAUCUUUUCUAGUGUGUGAAGCAUCAUCACACCAAAUGCAUCUUUGUACAUAUCCUUGUUUUGAAACAUUCUUCGAAUUGUUUGUAGAAGUAUUCUCUUUAAGUCUUGCCAAUUUGAUUUGAAGAUCUCGCAUUCCUCGUAUAAUUUCUUCCAUUCCCAUAUCUGCUUUCUUUGAUAAGGAUGUCGAAGGUUGAACUGUAGGCAUUAUUGGUGGUGUUGUACAUACAGGAGCUUUAGGUGUUUGUAAUGAUUGUGAAAAAAACUCCCAUGAAUUUCUAUAACGAUCCGUAAUCGAUGUAAUAUGGUCUCUUAUCUCCGGUAUUGUGGCAAGUCUAAAUAAUUCAACUAUUUUCUUCUCAAAAACCCGAUUUUAUUCCAUUUCACGAAUAUAACAUCUUAAAUACCUUGAAAUAUUCCUUCCAUCAAAUUGAUCAAUUUUAUUGACCACUACUUGCAAUGCUUUGGUUGCCAAAGCUUCUUUUCGAUCAUUGCUUUGCUGUUGCUGCAUUGAUAAUGAGAAGGCUUGAAACAAACUAGCAAUAGAUGGAUCCAUAUGCAUACCUUGUCCUUUAGAAGAAUCCCCACCAGAAACUCCUCCCAAAGAUCCUUCAAAUUUUAUAUUUUUGUUUUCCAUAUAAUAAAUAUAAAACCAAACGAAAUCCAAUACCUUCUACCUCAAGCUUUCACAUCGGGUUCACCACUUUUGUCGUAUUACGUGCUUUCCUACUCGAGAAUACGUCGGGCGUCUGGCUGUAGAAGGUAGUAUGGAGAUUCUUUAAUAUUUAAACAGUCUAUCAGUUUUUGACUGUUGGAAUAUAAAGGACUACAAGAAUACAUCCUAAAUCUAUUCGGAUGCCCUUCGACUGCUCACCAAAGUCCUUUUUGUCCCAGCCGGGAGGUCUCUAGACGUUACAGAGAACCCCGAACAAUCCAAACUGCUAAUCUUCGAUACUACUUUAUACUCACGAUCUUAUAUCCACUAACUGUCUCAUUAGAUUAACCCAAUAAGUUUCAUUCACUUCGCAUACUCAAUCCUAUAGACACCUUUUUAAUUCUUCAUCACAGACGUAACUCGAUUUCAUAAAAUAGUCAAGAGUAAUCAAACUCACUUCAUUAAAAAUCCCGAUUCACCAUUACAACACUAACUUCAACAACGAUUGCCUCACUCUUCCCAAAAAACCCUAUGAAGAAAAAAAACCCAAUUCUCUGUCUUUUUUCCCUGCCUGAAGCAUAAAGCUAGCUCUCUUGAUCCUUCAAAAAAAUCCCCUCCCAAAACUUAUUCUCUAUCCUCUCAUUUCUUAACCUUAAUUCUGAAUUUUUUCAAUCCUCCGUCUUGGAUCCGAAAUUGGCUCCCAUCGUCAGAGCUUGGAUCCAAAAUUGGCUCUCGCCAUGAGAGCUUUCUCCUCCAUUUUUACCUUUAAGAGAUCCAUUUACCGAAAACAACGUUCCUUGAAACGACACAGAGAACAGGACAGCCUGAAACAGAAUCGAAACCUUGUAAUCGGAACCACAUUGAGUCGCCCGACCAAUUCAGGUCUCACAAUUCAUGUCUCAUAUUGGAUAAGAGGCCCGUAGUAACCUGGAUGUUCCCAAAAUUUGUCCGCAUUGGAUUGUCUGACCAAGUCAGGUCUCAUACUGGGUAAGAGGACCCGGAUUGGAUGUCUUGAAAUUGGAUCCAAUUGGCUCUUCGAACCUGGCUCACUCGUCAUUGAAUUGGUCCUUUUUCUUUCUGCUAACUCCCGUUAUUGGAAUCGAAUGGAGCAUUUCAGUAUGCCUCGACUGACUGUAACGGGGUGACUGAACUUGGCCUCUCAGUAUUUGCAUUGGAGUUGGUCGUUGCUCCCAAUAUUCGAGGUAACUGAAUAUUAAUAAAAGUCCCCUUACUUUAUAUUUUCA
Molecule: long non-coding RNA, 7086 nt
Filed under: Physcomitrium patens
Lineage: Eukaryota; Viridiplantae; Streptophyta; Bryopsida; Funariales; Funariaceae
Description: long non-coding RNA (PPAT_LNC013024)
Source: RNAcentral